RNAcentral lists this ribosomal RNA (254 nucleotides) under uncultured bacterium. RNAcentral describes it as "partial 16S ribosomal RNA". It matches the Rfam family "Bacterial small subunit ribosomal RNA", at positions 524 to 776 of the family's 1533-position model. The record is from RNAcentral.
UACGGAAGGGGCAAGCGUUGUUCGGAAUCAUUGGGCGUAAAGGGCGCGUAGGUGGUUCUGUAUGUCUACCGUGAAAGCAUACGGCUCAACUGUAUUUUGUCGGUAGAAACUGCAGGACUUGAGGCUGGGAGGGGCUGGUGGAAUUCCCUGUGUAGCGGUGAAAUGCGUAGAGAUGGGGGAGAACACUCGUGGCGAAGGCGGCCAGCUAGACCAGUUCUGACACUGAGGCGCGACAGCGUGGGGGAGCAAACAGG